Small nuclear RNA from Panthera pardus (leopard), 107 nucleotides. Its record names the gene U4. It matches the Rfam family "U4 spliceosomal RNA". From Rfam's summary of the family: U4 small nuclear RNA (U4 snRNA) is a component of the major U2-dependent spliceosome. The structure of U4 snRNA from yeast and human has been reported. The record is from Ensembl. NCBI's taxonomy places the organism in Eukaryota, Metazoa, Chordata, Mammalia, Carnivora, Felidae.
AGCUUUGUGCACUGGCAGUACGGUAGCCAAUGAGGUUUGUCCGAGGUGCAAUUAUUGCUAACUGAAAAACAAUGAAGCUUUUAAAAAAGAAAGUGGGAGAUAGCUCU